AUACGUAGGGGGCAAGCGUUAUCCGGAUUUACUGGGUGUAAAGGGAGCGCAGACGGUCAUACAAGUCUGAAGUGAAACCCCACGGCUCAACUGUGGGCUUGCUUUGGAAACUGCGUGACUUGAGUGUCGGAGGGGUAAGCGGAAUUCCCGGUGUAGCGGUGAAAUGCGUAGAUAUCGGGAAGAACACCGGUGGCGAAGGCGGCUUACUGGACGACAACUGACGUUGAGGCUCGAAGGUGUGGGGAGCAAACAGGAUUAGAUACCCUGGUAGUCCACGCGGUAAACGAUGAAUACUAGGUGUUGGGAAGCAAAGCUUUUCAGUGCCGGAGCUAACGUGAUAAGUAUUCCACCUGGGGAGUACGUCCGCAAGGAUGAAACUCAAAUGAAUUGGCGGGG
This 396-nucleotide ribosomal RNA is filed under the name uncultured bacterium. RNAcentral describes it as "partial 16S ribosomal RNA". It matches the Rfam family "Bacterial small subunit ribosomal RNA", at positions 523 to 918 of the family's 1533-position model. The record is from RNAcentral.